Mirounga angustirostris (Northern elephant seal) is the source of this 2547-nucleotide RNA transcript. RefSeq lists it as uncharacterized. The record is from RefSeq and is a predicted model, not a curated record. Lineage: Eukaryota; Metazoa; Chordata; Mammalia; Carnivora; Phocidae. The transcript is spliced from 3 exons.
GUCACGACGCCGCCAGCUGAUCGGAGACUGGAGCCGGUGUGUGCUGGGCGCAGGGAAGACACAGCGCCGCCGGCCGUGGGGAACGGACGCACUGAUUUGCUCCCUUACCCUCAGCAACCCCCCCACCCAGCACCAGGAGCGUGUCCCUCCCACAUCCUCACCUGGCUGAGCCGCAGUAGUUCUUCAGUGGCAAGCUUUAUGUCCUGACCCAGCUAAAGCUGCCAGUUGAAGAACUGUUGCCCUCUGCCCCUGGCUUCAAGGAGGAGGAGGAAGAGGAGAAGGAGCUGCUUUCCCCUUCAUCUGGAAGGUGACAGAACUGGGGCUGGGAAGGUCCGAACAGUGGGAGGGAAGGGGACCUUGUUCAGUUGGAGAGCCUUCAGCCAGAUUGGCCCAGCAAGAAAGAACAAUUUCAGAUUAGAGACCCUGGUUGGUUUGGGGAAUAGAUGGCUGUGACCAACCAAGGAUAGUUGGUCUACACUGGUGUGACAAGAGGAGGAUGAUGACAGGAGCAAAGAAAACUGUCUACCCUUUUACCCAGAUGUCUUUCUUGGCCCUCCUUCCUUGUCUCCCUUUCACUCCUACUGCCUUUCCAGGUGAGGUCCAAAGUAAAUUUCUUCUUCAGGAAAAAGGUCAUACCGAGACUCCCAUCUGAGUAGUCAUCCCCAUGCUCUUACCUUUUCCUCUAUUUCCUUGGACUGGCCUAGACUCUAGAUUCAGGAAUAAUCACCUAUGUGUGGGACCCUUAGACCUCUUGUCUCAGCUUCUCCACCUGUGAGAUGGGGAAUCACAUGGUUGAGUAUGCAGGAGGGAAUCAGAAGCCUACUUCUACAGGCUACUCAGAGCCUGGGCUGUCCUCUCCCUGUGGGUGGGAACAAAACAGCUUUUCACAUAAGCUAUUGCCCCUCCCCCCCCAUCCAUGAACACCAUAGCCGAAGGGGGUGCUAGGGUUAGACCAGUGCAAGGGGCCGGGAGGAGCUCAGUCUCUCCAUUGACAUCCCACCAUGCAAAGGUGGCCCCAGGCUUCCUCUGCCACCCGAAACAGGACGGCAGCCCCUGAUGGGGUUGCAACUGCUGUUCCUGUUUCUUUCCUCACUUUACCUUCCAGGAUAAUUUGUGAGACCCUGCUCCGGCUUGUGCAGGCAGACAGUUCUCUCCAGCAACGAGGAGAGAGUCUCCCUCCAGCCCCGGGUAUGUGGCUCUGCCAUCCUCACCCAUCAUGAAGUAAAGAUGAGGAAGAGCAGCCUGGGGACACAGAGGCAGGCAGAAGACCAGUGAAGGACCAGGCCUGGAGAGCACAGGGCCCUGUCUGGGCACCCCGCAGAGGGGACCCAUAAAGGGCAGGAGCACCCCAGGAGGAGGGAGGACAGCCAGCUCCCAGCCAUCUGCCUCAUUCACUAUUUCUCUCCAGUGUUACUUACUGCCUCCCUCAGAGAUAUGAGACUGUAUUAAAUUGUCCUGCGGCUUCAUUCUCCUACUUCUCCCUCCCUACCCUGUAAUUUUUAUAUAAAGCAGCCUCAAGGAACAAGAACCAGCUGUGAAAGGACAUACGAAGGAAAUUCAUAGAAGAAAUUCAAAAUGGAUAAAACCAUGAAAAACAAAGUGUGUUUCAUUAGUAAUUAAAGAAAGACAAAUAUAGCUGAAAGCAUUUUUCCCUUAGCAAACUAUAUUUUAAAAAAAGAAAGACCCAGUAUUGGCAAAGUAAUACUAAAAUAACACUCCUAUACAUUGCAUAUGGGGGUGCAAACUGGUACGGCCUUCCUGGAUGUCAGUUUGGUAAUAUGUCUCAAAUACCCUAAAAGUUUCCAUCGCCUUUGACCUAGUCAUUCUACAUUUGGGAAUUUAUCCUGAGAAAAUAGUUAAAGAUUUAGUCGCAAGAUGCUCAUCCCAGUAUUGCAAUAGAGAAAAUGAGAAGCAACUGUCUGAUUGGGAAUUCAUUUCUUUUCUGCUGUAAUGAAAAUUUGCAAUGGGGGAUUGCUUAAGUAAAUCAUUGUAUAUCCAUCCAGAUGGUGUACCGCACAGCCAUUAAAAGUCAUGUAGAAGAACAUUUGACUGGAAAGAAAAAUGCUCUUUGAAUAUUAAGAAGGUUAUAAAAAUAAUGUGUAUUAUGUGAUCUCAAUUUUGUUUUUUAAAAAGAUGGGUAUAUUCUUGUAUACAUAAAACAGAUGAAAAAGACAAAAUGUUAAUGGUGGUUAUCUUUGCACAGUGGAACAAAGUCAUUGUAAUUCUCCUCUUUGGCUUUUCUGUAACUUUAAAAUUUUCUAUAUUGUGUAUGGUUUUCAUGUAAUAAAAUUUAAAAGAAUCAGUGUAAUUUUUUUAAAAGCUUGGAGAGGCGGGUGUGGAGGAAUCCAGGGGUGCCCCUAGCCCUUUGGACAUAGUGGGGUUUUGGUGAAGAAAAGGGGUUGUGAGAAUGUGGACAACUUCAUUCUCUGGGAGUAGCUGGAAUCUGCCCUUUCCAUGUAUGGCAACGGCGCUCUGAAUUACUGGCUUUCAGCCCGCUAAGAGGUGUGGAGUGGAGUAAGGAAAACAGUAAAAACCUGUCACUCUUCA